Molecule: ribosomal RNA, 253 nt
Filed under: uncultured bacterium
Lineage: Bacteria
Description: partial 16S ribosomal RNA
Rfam family: Bacterial small subunit ribosomal RNA
Source: RNAcentral
UACGUAGGGCGCAAGCGUUGUCCGGAAUUAUUGGGCGUAAAGAGCUCGUAGGCGGCUUGUCACGUCGGGUGUGAAAGCCCGGGGCUUAACCCCGGGUCUGCAUUCGAUACGGGCUAGCUAGAGUGUGGUAGGGGAGAUCGGAAUUCCUGGUGUAGCGGUGAAAUGCGUAGAGAUCAUGAGGAAGACCAGUGGCGAAGGCGGGUCUCUGGACAGUGGCUGACGCUGAGGCGCGACAGCGUGGGGAGCAAACAGG